RNAcentral lists this ribosomal RNA (605 nucleotides) under Listeria monocytogenes. RNAcentral's name for it is "bacterial SSU rRNA". It matches the Rfam family "Bacterial small subunit ribosomal RNA", at positions 54 to 640 of the family's 1533-position model. The record is from RNAcentral. Lineage: Bacteria; Bacillati; Bacillota; Bacilli; Caryophanales; Listeriaceae.
CAUGCAAGUCGAACGAACGGAGGAAGAGCUUGCUCUUCCAAAGUUAGUGGCGGACGGGUGAGUAACACGUGGGCAACCUGCCUGUAAGUUGGGGAUAACUCCGGGAAACCGGGGCUAAUACCGAAUGAUAAAGUGUGGCGCAUGCCACGCUUUUGAAAGAUGGUUUCGGCUAUCGCUUACAGAUGGGCCCGCGGUGCAUUAGCUAGUUGGUAGGGUAAUGGCCUACCAAGGCAACGAUGCAUAGCCGACCUGAGAGGGUGAUCGGCCACACUGGGACUGAGACACGGCCCAGACUCCUACGGGAGGCAGCAGUAGGGAAUCUUCCGCAAUGGACGAAAGUCUGACGGAGCAACGCCGCGUGUAUGAAGAAGGUUUUCGGAUCGUAAAGUACUGUUGUUAGAGAAGAACAAGGAUAAGAGUAACUGCUUGUCCCUUGACGGUAUCUAACCAGAAAGCCACGGCUAACUACGUGCCAGCAGCCGCGGUAAUACGUAGGUGGCAAGCGUUGUCCGGAUUUAUUGGGCGUAAAGCGCGCGCAGGCGGUCUUUUAAGUCUGAUGUGAAAGCCCCCGGCUUAACCGGGGAGGGUCAUUGGAAACUGGAAGA